UCCCAGAGAACCAGCUAAACUCAGUUCUU
This 29-nucleotide non-coding RNA is filed under the name Mus musculus (house mouse). The record is from RNAcentral. Lineage: Eukaryota; Metazoa; Chordata; Mammalia; Rodentia; Muridae.